Molecule: long non-coding RNA, 513 nt
Organism: Numida meleagris (helmeted guineafowl)
Lineage: Eukaryota; Metazoa; Chordata; Aves; Galliformes; Numididae
Exons: 2
Source: RefSeq, a predicted model, not a curated record
AGAUCCCUGCCUACCUGAGGCCUUCCAAAGUAAUCUUAUGAGCAUGCUAGACUAUGUCUUCUGUGAAAAUAAAUACUAGAGGAGGGACAUGUGAUCAUUGCCUUCUGCUCUGUGCAGACUGAGGGCAAGGCUUCUUUAUGACUUCUCCCCAGAAAGCCCUCCUGGCUGAGCAGACAGAGCAAAGAUCUCCAACUGGAACAUCCAGUCUUUCGUGGUGAAAGGUGUCACACCCCAAAGGCAGCCACUCCUAUAUUUUCAAUCCUUAUCUCCAGAGACAACUGGAUAGUUCUAUGGAAUUGAGUACAACUUGGCAUAAAUACAUUUAAUACCAUCACGGAAAACUGCAUCAGCUCCCUCAAGUACAUUACGUUUAUUCAAAUGCUCGUCAUUUACCACUCUGAAGGGUUUUGCAUUGCCCAAAGGACAUUCAUAGAAAAAUUAACCAAAAGGAACAUUUUAGAAGUUCAUGGAUUUGUAAUAAAAUUGCAGUUUUCACUGACUGUUACACCAUGG